Pelobates cultripes (western spadefoot toad) is the source of this 233-nucleotide non-coding RNA. NCBI's taxonomy places the organism in Eukaryota, Metazoa, Chordata, Amphibia, Anura, Pelobatidae. The record is from the annotation of a GenBank genome assembly.
AGGAGAGGCAACAACAUUCCUUUUCAUUCCAGAUACAUCUAGGGAGGUGUCCCCUUUAAUAUUCACUAAUGCUUCUCAUAUGUGGGAAGAUUUAUAUAUGGACAUUUGUGUAUAUGUGUAAACUCAGGUGUACCAAGCAUGUAUAUCUAUGUAUGCAUACUGUGAAUAUGUAAGCGUAUAUAUAUUUUUUUUAAUACCACGGGGCAGUUUUUCAUUGUAGAAUGAGGGCAGAG